UAGGGAAUCUUCGGCAAUGGACGAAAGUCUGACCGAGCAACGCCGCGUGAGUGAAGAAGGUUUUCGGAUCGUAAAACUCUGUUGUUAGAGAAGAACAAGGACGUUAGUAACUGAACGUCCCCUGACGGUAUCUAACCAGAAAGCCACGGCUAACUACGUGCCAGCAGCCGCGGUAAUACGUAGGUGGCAAGCGUUGUCCGGAUGUAUUGGGCGUAAAGCGAGCGCAGGUGGUUUCUUAAGUCGGAUGUGAAAGCCCCCGGCUCAACCGGGGAGGGUCAUUGGAAACUGGGAGAAUUGAGUGCAGAAGAGGAGAGUGGAAUUCCAUGUGUAGCGGUGAAAUGCGUAGAUAUAUGGAGGAACCCCAGUGGCGAAGGCUGCUCUCUGGUCUGUAACUGACGCUGAGGCUCGAAAGCGUGGGGAGCAAACAGG
Molecule: ribosomal RNA, 429 nt
Filed under: Gemmatimonadota bacterium
Lineage: Bacteria; Pseudomonadati; Gemmatimonadota
Description: Gemmatimonadetes bacterium partial 16S ribosomal RNA
Rfam family: Bacterial small subunit ribosomal RNA
Source: RNAcentral